Long non-coding RNA from Herpailurus yagouaroundi (jaguarundi), 2248 nucleotides. RefSeq lists it as uncharacterized. The transcript is spliced from 6 exons. NCBI's taxonomy places the organism in Eukaryota, Metazoa, Chordata, Mammalia, Carnivora, Felidae. The record is from RefSeq and is a predicted model, not a curated record.
GAAGUUUGCGGAUCCCUCUUCUAGAAGGGACAGUGUUUGAAAUGCACAUCUCCUUGGCCUUGAGAUCUCAAUGCCUGCAGGUUACCUCUGUCCAAAACAAUGCUAUUGUUGGUGUCUACCAAAGGCCACCAGAUGAAAGUGAUUGGGGAUGGAGCCAUGUAGUGAAAGGGAGGACCUGGAUGUGAGUUAUUCUUUCUUACCUUUGUCUCCUCUUCUUUAAUCUCCAGUUGGCACUUGAGGAUGUUGAUGCGAAUGGCUGCUCUUUGAUGCUAGCACCAUGGAAUUUAGAUAUAAACAUUUGAUAAAAGCUAAAUUCCCAGUGUCCUCACAACCCUUUGAUGCCUCACCAGUAAGUGGAUGAGAUCCUUUGGUUCCAGGCAGGGAUGGUAAGUAGGGCGACUACUCCACUUUGCCUGAAGAAUUCUAUUAGAUUAGAUUUUAGGGCCAUCUCUUUUGGAAGUCCAUUGGUUAUUGUGGCUCAUUUUAAAUUCAAUAACCCAUCUCCCAGGCUGCCAAAAAGGAGGUAGGGUCUCUUGGGAUUGUUAACAGUGACCACGCAGAACCCCGGUGUGUGUGUCUUCAGGGAGAGCACAAACAUUAUCUGUGAGAAUGAUAACAGCUCUUCUUUGGUGAGGAAGAACAAUUAGGGCUGCGUCUGCACUGGGCUCUCCACAUGUAUUUCCGAGCAGUCCUUACAAAAGUGCUAUGAGGUAGGUGUUUAUAUGACUUCUGUCCUUGUCUUCCUGUAGUCUAUUACUAACACAGCAGCCAGAGUGAUCCUAUUCAAAUAUGGGUCAGCUCAUGUCACUCCUCUGCUCAGAACCUUCCAGCAGCUUCCUGUCUCUCACAAUCAAAGCCAAAGCCCUUGCUAUAACUUUCAAGUCCUGUGAUUUUUUGCCUCCCCUUUACCUCUCUGACUUCAUCCUCACUCCCUCCAUGUAUGUUGCUCCAUAAACGACCCUGGCCCUGUGCUUUUUUCUUGAAAAUCCUGCCUCAGGGUUUUCAUACUUUUUGUCCCUCCUGCUUGGAAUUGUCACUUCCAAGAUGGUCAUGUGGGUAGCAGCCCACUUUCUUCAGGUUUUUGCUUGAAAGUCACCUUCUCACCGAGGACUUCCCUAGCAAUCCUGACUAAAAUUUCACCAAACGUCUCUAUCAUCCAACAUUUCCUAGCUUCCCUUCCAACUUUAACUUUUUAUUUUUUUGGCAUCUCUUUUGCUUACUUGCUUUGUUGAUUGAAAUGUAAGCCCCACAAAGGCAAGGAUUUUUCUCUGUUUUCUAACCAGGCACCCUACAAUCUCAUACCCAGCAACUAGGCAACUAGAACAGUACCUGGACCACAGGAAAUACACAUUUUGUUAGAUAUUCUGGUUCAGUGAGACUAUGGCGCAUCUGAAUUCUGUAUAGUUCCAGGUUUGGCCUUGAGGACUCUUAAUUUCUGAGGAGAAGGACCAGGCAGCUGCUGGAAUUCUAGUUGAUAGAUGGUGGGGAGAAGCAGAUGGAGAGGGCGAGAUCUUAAGCAGUCUCCAAGAUCAGUGCCGGGCUCAACAUGGGGCUUGAUCUCAUGACCCCUGAGAUCAUGACCUGAGCCGAAAUCAACAAUCAGGUACUGAACUAACUGAGCCAUCCAGGUGCCCUGAAAUAUACUGUUAAUAUUUAUUAAGAGUUCUUGUUCUUUGGGCAUUUAGAAGUGUUUAAUUUCCCAAUAUAUAUGGAUAUUUGUUUUUCACAUGUUUAUUGGUUACUGAUUUCUAAUUUGAUUGCAUUUUGAGUCAGUAAACAUGAUCCAUAUUAUACCAUUUCUUUGAAAAUUGUUAAGACUUGCUUUCUGGACAAGCACAUGGUCAACAUUUGUAGAUGUUUCGUUUGUGCUUAAGAAGAAUGUAUGUUCUGUGAUUCUUGGGUUUGGAGUUCUCUCUCUGUCCAAUUAGAUCACGCUUGUUACUUCUUCUAUUCAAAUAUUUUAUAUCUUUUUUUGACUUCUUUUCAUCUGCUUGACUUAUUAUUGAGAGAUGAGUGUUGAAAUCUUCUAUUACAACAGUAGAUUUCUCAAUUUCAGCCACUAGUUCUAUCAUAUUUAUAUUGUAAGGCAAUUAUUUUAGGUACAUCUUUCUAUUGUUUAAUAAUACGUUUUGCAUUAAAAAUAUUUUAAAAAUAUAAGUAAAAAUGUAAAAACUACAAAAACACACAGAAUAAACAUUGCUUUCAUGUAAUUAUACCACUCCAAAGUAACUGCUGCUUAUUUAAUAUG